RNAcentral lists this long non-coding RNA (269 nucleotides) under Prunus persica (peach). RNAcentral describes it as "long non-coding RNA (PPER_LNC000678)". Lineage: Eukaryota; Viridiplantae; Streptophyta; Magnoliopsida; Rosales; Rosaceae. The record is from RNAcentral.
AGAAAUAAACUUUGUAUUUUUGAGUGUUUUAAGUGUUUGAGUGUUUGAGUGUUUGAGUGUUUGAGUGUUUUUAUUCCAAGUGCUGCUUCUGCAAGCUUCUAUUAAGCACUACUGCUCUUCUGCCUUUAUGUAAGUUUGCUAAAUAUUAAUGUUAUCGUUUUUAUCGUUUUUAAUUUCGUUAUAUUCUUAUCCCUGAUUUUGGCUUUGUAUGUUUGAAUUUCUGAUAAUUAUUUUGUUUAUUCUCUACAUCUCUACAAUACAUUCCGCGC